RNAcentral lists this ribosomal RNA (433 nucleotides) under uncultured bacterium. RNAcentral's name for it is "partial 16S ribosomal RNA". It matches the Rfam family "Bacterial small subunit ribosomal RNA", at positions 29 to 507 of the family's 1533-position model. The record is from RNAcentral.
AACGAACGCUGGCGGCAUGCCUAACACAUGCAAGUCGAACGAAGCCUUCGGGCUUAGUGGCGCCCGGGUGCGUAACGCGUGGGAAUCUGCCCCUUGCUUCGGAAUAACAGUUAGAAAUGACUGCUAAUACCGGAUGAAGUCUUCGGACCAAAGAUUUAUCGGCAAGGGAUGAGCCCGCGUAGGAUUAGGUAGUUGGUGGGGUAAAGGCCUACCAAGCCGACGAUCCUUAGCUGGUCUGAGAGGAUGAUCAGCCACACUGGGACUGAGACACGGCCCAGACUCCUACGGGAAGCAGCAGUGGGGAAUAUUGGACAAUGGACGCAAGUCUGAUCCAGCAAUGCCGCGUGAGUGAUGAAGGCCUUAGGGUUGUAAAGCUCUUUUACCAGGGAUGAUAAUGACAGUACCUGGAGAAUAAGCUCCGGCUAACUCCGUG